UGAACGAGAUGAAGCAGAAAGUCAUUCCUCCAAACAUAGUCACAUAUAGUUCAUUAAUUGAUGGUUUGUGUAAGCUUCGUCAGUGGGAAAAGGUUAGGAAUUUGUUCUCUGAGAUGUUAGACCUUAAUAUUUAUCCAGACGUGCGCACCUUCACCAUGGUGAUUGAUGGACUGUGCAAAGAAGGGAAAGUUGAAGAUGCCGAGGAAGUAAUGAGACAUAUGAACGAAAAAGGUGUAGAGCCUAAUAUAUUCACUUACAAUGUGAUGAUGGAUGGAUAUUGUUUGCGUGGUCAAAUGGAUAGAGCGAGGAGAAUUUUGGAUUUCAUGAUAGAUAAGUGCAUUGAACCUGACAUUAUUAGCUAUAGCAUACUAAUAAAUGGAUAUUGUAAGAAAAAGAAGUUGGAUGAGGCCAUGCAAAUGUUUCGUAAAAUUUCUCAAAAGAGACCAAAACCUAAUAUGGUUACCUACAAUACUAUCUUGCAAGGUCUGUUUGAAGUUGGAAGAAUUGGCAAUGCAAAACAGGUAUUCGCGGAGAUGUUAUUUACGGGGACCAUACCUGAUUUAUGCACUCACACCACUUUGCUCAAUGGUUAUUUUAAGUAUGGACUUGUUGAAGAAUCUAUGUCUUAUUUUAAUAAGUUGGAAAUAAAGAGAGUAAGUACAGAUAUUGGAUUUUACAAUGCUGUCAUUAAUGGAUUGUGCAAAAAUGGUGAACUCGACAAAGCUCAUGCUAUUUUUGAGAAGCUUUCUAUAAUGGGGUUGCUUCCUAAUUCAAGAACAUACACUACAAUGAUAACUGGAUUUUGUUUGAAAGGAUUGUUAGAUGAAGCUAAAGCUAUGCUAAGAAAAAUGGGGGACAACGGUUAUUUGCCAAAUGAGGUCACUUACAGUGUUAUUGUGCAAGGGUAUCUCAGGUGUAGCAAAAUUUGUGAAAUGGCAACUUUUAUAAAGGAAAUGGCUGGAAAGGGCUUCUCAUUUGAUGCAACUACAAUUGAGUUACUGAUAAAUGUUAUAAGGAAGAACCCUUCUGUCCUUGACAUGAUGCCACAUUUUCACUCGAAAAAUAAGAAGUGAAUAUUUCUUUCCCUUGGUUUAUUCACUAUCAUGAUACAAUUUCCGUUUAUCUCUGCGAAAGAAAUUCUACAAAAUUAGGGCACACCGAAAUUACCCAACUUUCCCAUCCGCUGGAAAAUUUCCAGCAAUUCACUGAGCGAAAUUCUUCAGCCAUUGACGAUGAAUAGAAUUUCUCUGCGUUGCGCUCGCAAUGGUAUUCCGUUUAUCUCUUUCAUUUCAAUUCGAACUUAUUCUUCCUGCAAUAGUAAUACAUCCAUUUGGGGUAAAUAGCAAAUUUGAGAACGUCAAGUGUUUAGAUGACGCUGUGAAUCUCUUCCGUCAAUUGGUCAGAAAUCAGCCUCUUCCGUCUCCUGUCGACUUCUCUAAAUUAUUUAAGACUAUGCUAAAUAUGAAGCAUUACUCUGCUGUUGUUUCUCUUUUUAUAGAAAUGCAGAAAUCGUAUAUCCAGAUCGAUGGGUUCAUCUUGAGUAUCGUGAUUGAUAGUUAUUGCCUGAUGCAUCGUGUUGAUUGUGGAUUUUCGGUGUUACCCGUUUACUUGAAGUAUGGCAUUCCAUUUAAUGUUGUCACCUUUAACACCCAAAUAAGGGGAUUUUUUGCUGAAGAUAAGGUCAAAGAUGCAGUUGAAUUGUUCAAAAAGUUGGUGAGGGAGAAGAUUUGUGAACCUAAUGAAGUCAUGUAUGCAACCGUUAUGAAUGGGCUCAACAAACGUGGUCAUACUGAAAAAGCUGUUAGUUUGCUCCGGUUAAUGGAACAAGGGAGCGCUAAGCCCGACGUAUUUAACUACAGCAUUGUCAUAGAUUCACUUUGCAAAGAUAGAAAUUUAGAUGCGGCUAUCAGCCUUUUGAACGAGAUGAAAAAGAAAGGCAUAUGUGCAGACAUAUUCACAUUUAAUUCAUUUGAUUGAUGGUUUGUGUAAGUUUGGUCAGUGGGAAAAGGUUAGGACUUUGUUCUCUGAGAUGUUGGACCUUAAUAUUUAUCCAGACGUGCGCACCUUCACCAUGGUGAUUGAUGGACUGUGCAAAGAAGGGAAAGUUGAAGAUGCCGAGGAAGUAAUGAUACAUAUGAACGAAAAAGGUGUAGAGCCUAAUAUAUUCACUUACAAUGUGAUGAUGGAUGGAUAUUGUUUGCGUGGUCAAAUGGAUGGAGCGAGGAGAAUUUUGGAUUUCAUGAUAGAUAAGUGCAUUGAACCUGACAUUAUUAGCUAUAGCAUACUAAUAAAUGGAUAUUGUAAGAAAAAGAAGUUGGAUGAGGCCAUGCAAAUGUUUCGUAAAAUUUCUCAAAAGAGACCAAAACCUAAUAUGGUUACCUACAAUACUAUCUUGCAAGGUCUGUUUGAAGUUGGAAGAAUUGGCAAUGCAAAACAGGUAUUCGCGGAGAUGUUAUUUACGGGGACCAUACCUGAUUUAUGCACUCACACCACUUUGCUCAAUGGUUAUUUUAAGUAUGGACUUGUUGAAGAAUCUAUGUCUUAUUUUAAUAAGUUGGAAAUAAAGAGAGUAAGUACAGAUAUUGGAUUUUACAAUGCUGUCAUUAAUGGAUUGUGCAAAAAUGGUGAACUCGACAAAGCUCAUGCUAUUUUUGAGAAGCUUUCUAUAAUGGGGUUGCUUCCUAAUUCAAGAACAUACACUACAAUGAUAACUGGAUUUUGUUUGAAAGGAUUGUUAGAUGAAGCUAAAGCUAUGCUAAGAAAAAUGGGGGACAACGGUUAUUUGCCAAAUGAGGUCACUUACAGUGUUAUUGUGCAAGGGUAUCUCAGGUGUAGCAAAAUUUGUGAAAUGGCAACUUUUAUAAAGGAAAUGGCUGGAAAGGGCUUCUCAUUUGAUGCAACUACAAUUGAGUUACUGAUAAAUGUUAUAAGGAAGGGCACUUGUGUAUGAACUUCCAGCAUAUUAUGUUGCACUGGUAUAUUAUACUGGAAUUCCAGUAUUGUGCUUGAAUUCCAGUAUAUUUAUGCUGGAACUCCAGUAUAUUAUGCGGGAGUAUUUUUCAAAACAGAUCAAAAUAGUAUAAUUUGCGGGUCAAAUUAUGAAUUAUGUAAAGUUGAAAGGAUUUAAGCUAAAACUUUGAAAAGAAAUAAAGAAGUACUACAAUGGAGUAAUAGGUUUCCUACAAAAUUAGGGCACACCGAAAUUACCCCACUUUCCCAUCCGCUGGGAAAUUUCCAGCAAUUCACUGAGCGAAAUUCUUCAGCCAUUGACGAUGAAUAGAAUUUCUCUGCGUUGCGCUCGCAAUGGUAUUCCGUUUAUCUCUUUCAUUUCAAUUCGAACUUAUUCUUCCUGCAAUAGUAAUACAUCCAUUUCAGUAAAGGGUAAAUUUGGGGUAAAUAGCAAAUUUGAGAACGUCAAGUGUUUAGAUGACGCUGUGAAUCUCUUCCGUCAAUUGGUCAGAAAUCAGCCUCUUCCCUCUCCUGUCGUUUUAUCUAAAUUAUUUAAGACUAUGCUAAAUAUGAAGCAUUACUCUGCUGUAGUUUCUCUUUUUAUAGAAAUGCAGAAAUCGUAUAUCCAGAUCGAUGGGUUCAUCUUGAAUAUCGUGAUUAAUAGUUAUUGCUUGAUGCAUCGUGUUGAUUGUGCAUUUUCGGUGUUACCCGUUUACUUGAAGAAUGGCAUCUGAUGCAUCGUGUUGAUUGUGGAUUUUCGGUGUUACCCGUUUACUUGAAGAAUGGCAUUCCGUUUGGUGUUGUCACCUUUACCACCCUAAUUAGGGGAAUCUUUGCUGAAAAUAAGGUCAAAGAUGCAGUUGAAUUGUUCAAAAAUUACACAAAAUAAAAUAAUUAGCCUACUGCUGAAAAUAAGGUCAAAGAUGCAGUUGACUUGUUCAAAAAGUUGGUGAGAGAAGAUUUGUGAGCCUAAUGAAGUCAUGUAUGCAAUCAUCAUGAAUGGGCUCAACAAAAGGGGUCAUAAUGAAAAAACUGUUAGUUUGCUCCGGUUAAUGGAACAAGGGAGCACCAAGCCCGACAUAUACAUCUACACCAUUGUUAUAGAUUCCCUUUGCAAAGAUAGAAACUUAGAUGCUGCUAUCAACCUUUUGAACGAGAUGAAGCAGAAAGUCAUUCCUCCAAACAUAGUCACAUAUAAUUCAUUAAUUGAUGGUUUGUGUAAGCUUCGUCAGUGGGAAAAGGUUAGGAAUUUGUUCUCUGAGAUGUUAGACCUUUAUAUUUAUCCAGACGUGCGCACCUUCACCAUGGUGAUUGAUGGACUGUGCAAAGAAGGGAAAGUUGAAGAUGCCGAGGAAGUAAUGAGACAUAUGAACGAAAAAGGUGUAGAGCCUAAUAUAUUCACUUACAAUGUGAUGAUGGAUGGAUAUUGUUUGCGUGGUCAAAUGGAUAGAGCGAGGAGAAUUUUGGAUUUCAUGAUAGAUAAGUGCAUUGAACCUGACAUUAUUAGCUAUAGCAUACUAAUAAAUGGAUAAGAGCGAGGCGAAUUUUGGAUUUCAUGAUAGAUAAGUGCAUUGAACCUAACAUUAUUAGCUAUAGCAUACUAAUA
This 4555-nucleotide long non-coding RNA is filed under the name Nicotiana benthamiana. Its description in RNAcentral is "long non-coding RNA (NBEN_LNC010037)". The record is from RNAcentral. Lineage: Eukaryota; Viridiplantae; Streptophyta; Magnoliopsida; Solanales; Solanaceae.